This 253-nucleotide ribosomal RNA is filed under the name uncultured bacterium. RNAcentral describes it as "partial 16S ribosomal RNA". It matches the Rfam family "Bacterial small subunit ribosomal RNA", at positions 524 to 776 of the family's 1533-position model. The record is from RNAcentral.
GACAGAGGGUGCAAACGUUGCUCGGAAUCACUGGGCGUAAAGGGCGUGUAGGCGGAUCAGCAAGUCGGGCGUGAAAUCCCCAGGCUCAACCUGGGAACUGCACUCGAAACUGCCUUUCUUGAGUACCGGAGAGGAAAGCGGAAUACCUGGUGUAGAGGUGAAAUUCGUAGAUAUCAGGUGGAACACCAGUGGCGAAGGCGGCUUUCUGGACGGUAACUGACGCUGAGACGCGAAAGCGUGGGGAGCAAACAGG